AGUGAACGCUGGCGGUAGGCCUAACACAUGCAAGUCGAACGGCAGCACAGGAGAGCUUGCUCUCUAGGUGGCGAGUGGCGGGCGGGUGAGGAAUACAUCGGAAUCUGCCCAGUCGUGGGGGAUAACGUAGGGAAACUUACGCUAAUACCGCAUACGACCUUCGGGUGAAAGAGGGGGAUCGCAAGACCUCUCGCGAUUGGAUGAGCCGAUGUCGGAUUAGCUAGUUAGCGGGGUAAUGGCCCACCAAGGCGACGAUCCGUAGCUGGUCUGAGAGGAUGAUCAGCCACACUGGAACUGAGACACGGUCCAGACUCCUACGGGAGGCAGCAGUGGGGAAUAUUGGACAAUGGGCGCAAGCCUGAUCCAGCCAUACCGCGUGGGUGAAGAAGGCCUUCGGGUUGUAAAGCCCUUUUGUUGGGAAAGAAAUCUUUCAGGCUAAUACCCUGAGGAUGACGGUACCCAAAGAAUAAGCACCGGCUAACUUCGUG
RNAcentral lists this ribosomal RNA (488 nucleotides) under uncultured bacterium. RNAcentral describes it as "partial 16S ribosomal RNA". It matches the Rfam family "Bacterial small subunit ribosomal RNA", at positions 29 to 507 of the family's 1533-position model. The record is from RNAcentral.